RNAcentral lists this ribosomal RNA (497 nucleotides) under uncultured bacterium. RNAcentral describes it as "partial 16S ribosomal RNA". It matches the Rfam family "Bacterial small subunit ribosomal RNA", at positions 28 to 507 of the family's 1533-position model. The record is from RNAcentral.
GAUGAACGCUGGCGGCGUGCCUAAUACAUGCAAGUCGAGCGAACAGAUAAGGAGCUUGCUCCUUUGACGUUAGCGGCGGACGGGUGAGUAACACGUGGAUAACCUCCCUAUAAGACUGGGAUAACUUCGGGAAACCGGCGCUAAUACCGUAUAACAUAUUGAACCGCAUGGUUCAAUAGUGAAAUGCGGCUUUUCUGUCUCUUAUCGAUGCAUCCGCGCCGUAUUAGCUAGUUGGUAAGGUAACGGCUUACCAAGGCAAGGAUACGUAGCCGACCUGGGAGAGGGAUCGGCCACACUGGAACGGAGACGCGGUCAAGACGCCUAAGGGAGGCAGCAGUAGGGAAUCUUCCGCAAUGGGCGAAAGCCUGACGGAGCAACGCCGCGUGAGUGAUGAAGGUCUUCGGAUCGUAAAACUCUGUUAUCAGGGAAGAACAAAUGUGUAAGUAACUGUGCACAUCUUGACGGUACCUGAUCAGAAAGCCACGGCUAACUACGUG